Molecule: ribosomal RNA, 253 nt
Filed under: uncultured bacterium
Lineage: Bacteria
Description: partial 16S ribosomal RNA
Rfam family: Bacterial small subunit ribosomal RNA
Source: RNAcentral
UACGUAGGGGGCUAGCGUUGUCCGGAUUUAUUGGGCGUAAAGGGCGCGUAGGCGGUUCGGCAAGUCUCUAGUGAAAUCUCAGGGCUCAACUCUGAGUCUGCUGGGGAAACUGCCGGGCUUGAGUGUGGGAGAGGAGAGUGGAAUUCCCGGUGUAGCGGUGAAAUGCGUAGAUAUCAGGAGGAACACCUGUGGCGAAAGCGGCUCUCUGGACCACAACUGACGCUGAGGCGCGAAAGCUAGGGGAGCAAACAGG